AUAAAUUAUAUAAAUAUAAAAUUAGAAUAUAAAAAAUUUUAAAUCAUCUAAAACUACCGAUUUAAUGUUUAAAAAUACGUAAUAAAGUCAUGAUUAAGAAACUACCACUUUACAAUUCAAAACUAUCAGGAACAAUCUUCAUAAACAAUUAACAUUACCGUAUCAUAUGUUAUGAAACCAUGGGAAAUCAUCAUUCAAACAAGGGAUUAGAGAACCCCUUUUAAAGUUGACGCCUCAGCCGAUCUAGGGAGCUCCAGCACGAACGAAAGAGGAACCAUCUCAAUCCUCAACAUGGCAGAGCUCUUAGGCACUUUUAGCCGUGAAGGGACCAGGCUUGAAGAAAGCACUAUAAUGCCCCCGGAGAUAACCAUACCCAUACACCCAAACCCCCUUGGGCAGAGCUAAAUCAACUCAUAACAAUUCAAACACAGAGAACCCAAGAUAAGCACUGCUGUGCACCCAGAAAUCCAUUGCAGAUUGCACGAGUUCCUUUUCUGUGAGCCACAUAACUUGCAAGCAACAAAAUGCAAACCAAAACAUUUAUGUACAGCCCCACCCGAAGGCGGGGAAGGAAAAUCCAUAACCGGGCAAGGCAGGGAUGGCCACAAAACGGGCAUAGUAGGAGACUCUUUGUCUUAGAUCCGAAAACCAACACGAAGAGAACUUUCUCUCCAUAGAGAAUCCUAGAUGGUUUAUUAGAAAAGGAAGAAAUUUUCUACAAUGAGAUGGUGGCUUGUG
This 738-nucleotide unclassified non-coding RNA is filed under the name Hevea brasiliensis (rubber tree). Lineage: Eukaryota; Viridiplantae; Streptophyta; Magnoliopsida; Malpighiales; Euphorbiaceae. The record is from RNAcentral.